Molecule: ribosomal RNA, 755 nt
Filed under: Clavibacter sp. V37-PCA-E14
Lineage: Bacteria; Bacillati; Actinomycetota; Actinomycetes; Micrococcales; Microbacteriaceae
Description: bacterial SSU rRNA
Rfam family: Bacterial small subunit ribosomal RNA
Source: RNAcentral
UGCAGUCGAACGGUGAUGUCAGAGCUUGCUCUGGCGGAUCAGUGGCGAACGGGUGAGUAACACGUGAGUAACCUGCCCCCGACUCUGGGAUAACUGCUAGAAAUGGUAGCUAAUACCGGAUAUGACGAUUGGCCGCAUGGUCUGGUCGUGGAAAGAAUUUCGGUUGGGGAUGGACUCGCGGCCUAUCAGGUUGUUGGUGAGGUAAUGGCUCACCAAGCCUACGACGGGUAGCCGGCCUGAGAGGGUGACCGGCCACACUGGGACUGAGACACGGCCCAGACUCCUACGGGAGGCAGCAGUGGGGAAUAUUGCACAAUGGGCGAAAGCCUGAUGCAGCAACGCCGCGUGAGGGAUGACGGCCUUCGGGUUGUAAACCUCUUUUAGUAGGGAAGAAGCGAAAGUGACGGUACCUGCAGAAAAAGCACCGGCUAACUACGUGCCAGCAGCCGCGGUAAUACGUAGGGUGCAAGCGUUGUCCGGAAUUAUUGGGCGUAAAGAGCUCGUAGGCGGUUUGUCGCGUCUGCUGUGAAAUCCCGAGGCUCAACCUCGGGUCUGCAGUGGGUACGGGCAGACUAGAGUGCGGUAGGGGAGAUUGGAAUUCCUGGUGUAGCGGUGGAAUGCGCAGAUAUCAGGAGGAACACCGAUGGCGAAGGCAGAUCUCUGGGCCGUAACUGACGCUGAGGAGCGAAAGCAUGGGGAGCGAACAGGAUUAGAUACCCUGGUAGUCCAUGCCGUAAACGUUGGGAACUAGAUGU